UUAAAAAGUUAAAAUAAAAUUAAAGGACGAGAAGACCCUAUAGAUCUUUAUUUUUGUUAUUUAUAAAUUAAAAAGAAUUUUAAAAUUUAUAAUUUAAUAAAAAAUUUUAUUGGGGUGAUAUUAAAAUUUAAAAAACUUUUAAAAUUUAUUAACAUAAAUAUAUGAAUAAAUGAUCCAGUUUUAUUGAUUAAAAAUUUAAGUUACCUUAGGGAUAACAGCGUAAUUUUUUUUUAGAGUUCAUAUCGACAAAAAAGAUUGCGACCUCGAUGUUGGAUUAAGAGUUAUUUUUAGGUGUAGAAGUUUAAAGUUUAGGUCUGUUCGACCUUUGAAUUC
This 333-nucleotide ribosomal RNA is filed under the name Culex quinquefasciatus (southern house mosquito). RNAcentral's name for it is "partial 16S ribosomal RNA". The stretch from base 211 to 333 matches the Rfam family "Bacterial large subunit ribosomal RNA", at positions 2473 to 2595 of the family's 2925-position model. Lineage: Eukaryota; Metazoa; Arthropoda; Insecta; Diptera; Culicidae. The record is from RNAcentral.